RNA transcript from Coffea eugenioides, 1700 nucleotides. RefSeq lists it as uncharacterized. The transcript has 5 exons. NCBI's taxonomy places the organism in Eukaryota, Viridiplantae, Streptophyta, Magnoliopsida, Gentianales, Rubiaceae. The record is from RefSeq and is a predicted model, not a curated record.
AAAUGCUUUCAAUCAUUAAGGAUAGUGUACAAAACUUUGCACAGUUUAUGCAAACCAAAAAUAUGUAGUAUAUUAUUAUUGUUACCCGAUAAAUGAAAUCACCUUCCCCAAUUUUGCCCAGACGGCCGCUUUUGCCCAUCUGGAGUGCUCAACUUCCAUAUUCCCUUCCCUUUUGUAGUUUCCCAUUUCUCACGCAUGGAAUCAAUCUGAACUCCAUCUUUAGUCCUUCCCAUGCCAAAGCUGUGAAGUGUGAACUAGUACUAUACUUUUAACUUAUUUGUGGUUCAGCUACUCCUCACCCUUCCUCCUAGAAUUCAAAAACAUGGCUCCCCCAAGAAAUAGACGCAGAAAGGUUGGUUCGAUGAGAAUUGAUGCCGCAUUGGAUUCUAUGCGUCCGAUGGGGUUCCCGGAUGAUGUUGUUCGCAAAUCCAUCAAAGACUUGCUCAAGGUUUAUGGGGAGGAUGGAUGGAUUUUCAUUGAGGAGGCUUCUUACAAGCUCCUCAUUGAAACGAUUAUUGAAGGACAGCAAGAAGGCAGAGCAGGAAGAGAUGAUGGAAGUGGGAGUGGUGAAAAAUCUGGAUCACUAGAAGAGAUGUGUGAUAAGGAAGAGCGCUGCCAGGAACAAAAGUGUCUACCAGUGGAGAUUGAUGCUGAGAAAAGUCCAAGCAAAAAUUCUCAGACCCACCAUCAUUUCAUUUCCAAGGAUGACUCUGGGCAACCUCAACUCGGUCCACCGGUGGACUUUGCUCCAACUUAUUCUCCCAUGGACCGUGUACCGACUAACCAAACACAAAAACCAUCUUGUGGAUGGCUCGAUGCUGAUGAUGAGGAAGAUUAGUUUCUAUCGCUGCCUCCUGGUAAUGGUGCUAUUCCAAAAUGAUGUGGUCAAUGGACAAAUUGCCAAUUAUGAUCUUCUGCAGUUUCGCUUUGCAGAUAUCUCUAACCCAAACUGAUGUUACUAGUUAACUACUACGCAAACUUUAGAUAUUGGUGGUUAUAGAUGCGCUAAUUACUGGCGCACCAUCAUCUACAGCUGUAAAUAUGACAUCUUGCACCAGAAGUGCAGAACGGCUUAUUGGACAUGUUAUAAUCCUGGAUUACAUACGUGGUUGGUUAAGUCUCUCGUUCCCCCGCGGACCAUAGGUACUUGGCAGAGCCCCAAAGGUAAUUUUGUUGGAGAUUACACUUUCCUGAUUACGAUGUUAAAAACUAGGAGGCAAAUAGUAAACGACGCUGGGCAUAUGCUUUGAAGCUUUUCAUAUUGUACUUGUCAUGUAUAUAAUCUAGGCGUCUUGUUUUCCCCUUUUGCUCCCCACUAGAGCUAUUUAAUGCAGGGAAAAUUUUUUUGCCAAUGGUUACUGUGAAGAUCACCACCACUGUCUUCUUAUUUAGAGGGGUGAAAACAAGGAAGAAGCUGAAACGAAAUACAUCAACUAGUACUCCUUCAAGAAAAAAGAGAAAAACUACGAAGAAAACGUGCUUGGCACAAAAAGGAAAAAGAAGGGACCAGAAGUUUUAUCAAUUCUUUGUCCUUUUGUAAAAAGUGAAGUGAGCUAAUUUUAUUCCAUAUAAGAAGGAUAUGAAGUUGGAUCAACUCUUUCUUGCUUCUCAUUUGUGGCUGGAGAAGAAUUAGCAUGUUGGCCCUCUAGGAUUUGUGAUGCCAGCUGAUACACAUAACCUUUGUGAAUUCAGCAAAUGCU